CAAAAAAUUAUAGGUCAAAGUCACUUAUUUUCAAAUUUGAUGAUCACAGAUUACUUUUUUAGUUACACAAAUAUCAAAUUUCAAGGUCACAGAUUAAUAAUCAAUCACAAGAGGCAAUAAUUAAUCAUAGACACCAAACACCCUAUCUUGAUACACCACAAUACUUGGUCACAAAUAUUAUCCCUGACCACAACACCAUCACAACCACUACCAACAUCACCGCCACUCCAAACCGCCAACAACACGACCAACCACGACCAAGUCACGCCAAUUGCAGUGUUGUUCUCACCAAACCACACAGCAAGUCACCCACCAAAGUCAGCAACACCACCCACACCGCCAUCAUCUUCAUCAACAAUUCCAAAGCCCCUAACCAGUCCACAAUCUUACAGAUCUUGGAAGUAUCUGCUCCGUACAACACUCUUGCUUGCGCUACGAGCAGUGGUUCCUCUGCUGGCAUCGUUACUCUUGCUCGCGACUAUGGAUGGUGCUCAGUGUUAUGCGACGGAGGGGUUUCAUUUUCACUGCAAGGCGCAAUUGCUGCCGUUUUCGCCUUAGUAAGCCAGUGAACGAUCAUAACCGUGAUUUCGACGGUGAUCUCUGGUAGUGGGAAGGGCCAUCAGCGAUGUGGGUUAAGUGGGGAGAGAGAGGAGAGAAAUGAAUCUAAUUCUAGCGUUUAGAAUAAAAUUGGAAUGAAAUAGGGUUGAAUUAUUUUAUAUUAAUAUUAAUAAUAUUAAUAAUUAAACCAAUACCUGAAUUUUGAAUAAAAAGC
RNAcentral lists this long non-coding RNA (772 nucleotides) under Olea europaea subsp. europaea. Lineage: Eukaryota; Viridiplantae; Streptophyta; Magnoliopsida; Lamiales; Oleaceae. The record is from RNAcentral.